CAGUCGCCACGGUAAUACGAAGGGUGCAAGCGUUAAUCGGAAUUACUGGGCGUAAAGCGUGCGUAGGCGGUUUGUUAAGUCUGUUGUGAAAUCCCCGGGCUCAACCUGGGAAUGGCAAUGGAUACUGGCAAGCUAGAGUGUGUCAGAGGAUGGUGGAAUUCCCGGUGUAGCGGUGAAAUGCGUAGAGAUCGGGAGGAACAUCAGUGGCGAAGGCGGCCAUCUGGGACAACACUGACGCUGAGGCACGAAAGCGUGGGGAGCAAACAGGAUUAGAUACCCCAGUAGUCUGUCUCUUAUACAA
RNAcentral lists this ribosomal RNA (301 nucleotides) under uncultured bacterium. RNAcentral describes it as "partial 16S ribosomal RNA". It matches the Rfam family "Bacterial small subunit ribosomal RNA", at positions 509 to 809 of the family's 1533-position model. The record is from RNAcentral.